UCAAAUGAAACCAUGUUUUCUAAAAUUAAAGGGUCUGAUUGAUAUUGGUCCUUCUUUUGACAGAUAUAAUAUGUAUACUGACUUGUUAUUUUCUUCUCUAGCAAGCACUACGGCGUCAACUUUGUGGUGGCCGACGCGACGGCCAUCGAGCAUGACUUCUUCGCCAAGAACAACCUCAGCGUGGACAUCACGCCGUAGUACAUCAUGAUGGAGCUUGGCUAGAUGUACACAUAUUUUUUUACAACCUCUGCGUGCAUAUUUUUUUUACAAUGCACCAAAGUUUCUUGUUUCUGUUGUGAAAGUAAUGUAAAUGGUGUUACAUAGUUCUCAAUAAAAAUGCAAAUAACUUGUGAAUUUGUCUUCAUGUUGUAUAAGUCUCGACAAAGUUAAUUUGCAUAAGCCUCGACCUCCUCCUGCAAUCUCUCUUUCUCCCCUUCUUCUUUGAAUUUCCCGGUGUUGUAUAAGUCUGCAAGAUUCGGAUUUUAAGAGUACUUGCUCCCUGUACUAGUUACUUCUACUAUUUAUUUUUAGCUGUUUAGUACUACUCUGUAGAUCUGUGAUACUAGUCUAGUCGCUUGUAUAAUUUUGUUUAAUGGUGUAACCUGAAACAUUGAGUAGUACCCUGUUCGCAUAUGUGUGAUUAUGUGUGUUCUGUAGUCUCUAGCUCCAGUACAUGUGAACUAUAUGUUGUGGUGUAAAUCAUUUUCAUUCUAUCUUAUAAACGUGUUUCUUCAAUAGCUAUUUUUGUUCAAGUCUUGUUGUCAUUGAUGUUAGCAUUUAGUUUGUCUCAAGUAAAAAAAAUACUAAAAAUACAGUGAAGAUAAUCUGAACCUCCCUAUGUAAAAUUUAGUUUGUCUAUAAUACUACUAGGAGAUGGGUGAGGGACUGAAAGGAUGAUAUGCUUCCAUGAAUUUAUUUGUAAGAAUUUUUUCUUGGCUCUGUACAAAUCAGCACAAAUAUGUGAGCCUCGGUUCUGAAAACUAAAGAAUUCAUAUAUUGCUAGAUAGACUAUGAUUUAGGAUAUGCUAAACAGAAAGCUUUAUAAGAUGGAACUAUCAAUUCAUCAUGACUUCACUUUGUCCUUUAAUUUAAUUUAAUUUAAUAUGGUUAGAACUACCAUGGUUUUUUAAGUAGUUGGCGCAUUAAGAAACAGUAUGCUGGAUGUUUGGCCUUGCAUUCGUCCUUCCAUGAAUUCAUGCUUGUACAUUGCUAGUUAUUGAUUUUUUUGCAAGUCUUCUUCUUCCUCGAUCUUGUGCAGCAGCAACAAUUCAAGGUCAUGGUCAUGGAGCAGCAGCCAUAUAUUUUUCUUCUUAUUCCUCCCUGAGAUGACAUGAGAUGAGGUUUGUUUUCCUCAAGGUCAAGGUGCAGCAGCUCGAUUUGAUUUGAUGUGAUUGGAUUCAGUUUCCUCAUGCUUCUCUGUUUGCAUUGCAGGCUCUGUUGGUCGGUCUUCAAUUCUUCAUGCUGUUGCUGCUACUGCUACAUGAGGACCCUCUUCAAUUCUGCAUCCAUUGCGGCCGCCGCAGCUUCCACCUCUACCCGGCCGCAUUCGCAAGUGUAAGCUCCCCCUCCCUCCGUCCUAGAUCUCUAGGUCUGUUGCUGUCAUGCGCCAUGUUCUUGAUGUUGCGCGACCUAAUGUGGAUGCCACGAACGGCGCUGCUCCUGUGUGCAGAUUUGAUUCACCGCAUUAGUAUGCGGUUGUUGUCUCGUCGUGGUUGCUCAAACUGAGAUGUACCCAGUUGAUUCGUCAUCUCGGGUCAUAAAUUUUUCUGCAUUCCCUGUUGCUGUAGCUUGUUGGAUGCAUAGUUUGAUCUCCCAAUGGGAAUUAUUAGUGAAUGGUGAUGUCUGUGGUCACGAGAAUGGUGAUGUAGUAGCUGGUAUGCUUGAUGCGUGUAAGUCCAUCUCUUUACUGUUUUGCUAGAACCAUAAAUCCUGAUGCGCAUGAUGAUCAUGGUCUGAUUUGUUAGAUCUAUUCUGCUGGUGCUUAAAAUUUGACAUGCCUGGAUUCUAAAACAAAUUUUACAGCAUUCUAUGUUGUAGCCAAACACUUGCUCUGUAUUUUAUAUUAAAACCAUGGUAUUGUGUACCUGCCAACUACGAGUAAAUUACUGAAGUUUUUAAUACUUUGGUUUUUUUGAUACUUUUUUUACAGAAAGGCAAUGGUCUGUAGUGAACUGAAGAUAGGAAAAAUGAUAUGUAAAUGCACUUUGAUCUGCUCAGUAGGAGCAAGAUGGAGUCGCUGGAGCAGAGCAGUCGAGUCUGCAUUUUGUUCUUCUGUCAGACAGACAUCCACAUGUUGUACCGAUUCUUAGUUCAGAGAUAGGAAUGUAUAAAUGGUUGCCGAUCUCUCCAUGCAUGGAACAGUAGCUUUUUAUGUAGGAUCCUUUCCGUAUAGAUGAGUCACAACAUUGAUUUGUUGAUCCAUUUGGAAACUAAAAGAAAGUACAGAGAGGACGAACUUGUUGGUAGAACUUCAUCAUAUUCAGCAGACGGAGUCCACGGGUGUAGCAUUUUGUCUAGUACACCCAACACCACCUGAGGAUCCAAUUCACUGUUAGAAAGUUAGAAAUUGAUAUUACAGGUUCCUUAUAGUGCAAACCAAAGCUGCUACUCCAACAACCAUCAAAUGAAACCAUGUUUUCUAAAAUUAAAGGGUCUGAUUGAUAUUGGUCCUUCUUUUGACAGAUAUAAUAUGUAUACUGACUUGUUAUUUUCUUCUCUAGCAAGCACUACGGCGUCAACUUUGUGGUGGCCGACGCGACGGCCAUCGAGCAUGACUUCUUCCCCAAGAACAACCUCAGCGUGGACAUCACGCCGUAGUACAUCAUGAUGGAGCUUGGCUAGAUGUACACAUAUUUUUUUACAACCUCUGCGUGCAUAUUUUUUUUACAAUGCACCAAAGUUUCUUGUUUCUGUUGUGAAAGUAAUGUAAAUGGUGUUACAUAGUUCUCAAUAAAAAUGCAAAUAACUUGUGAAUUUGUCUUCAUGUUGUAUAAGUCUCGACAAAGUUAAUUUGCAUAAUCCUUGACCUCCUCCUGCAAUCUCUCUUUCUCCCUUUCUUCUUUGAAUUUCCCGGUGUUGUAUAAGUCUGCAAGAUUCAGAUUUUAAGAGUACUUGCUCCCUGUACUAGUUACUUCUACUAUUUAUUUUUAGCUGUUUAGUACUACUCUGUAGAUCUGUGAUACUAGUCUAGUCGCUUGUAUAAUUUUGUUUAAUGGUGUAACCUGAAACAUUGAGUAGUACCCUGUUCGCAUAUGUGUGAUUAUGUGUGUUCUGUAGUCUCUAGCUCCAGUACAUGUGAACUAUAUGUUGUGGUGUAAAUCAUUUUCAUUCUAUCUUAUAAACGUGUUUCUUCAAUAGCUAUUUUUGUUCAAGUCUUGUUGUCAUUGAUGUUAGCAUUUAGUUUGUCUCAAGUAAAAAAAAUACUAAAAAUACAGUGAAGAUAAUCUGAACCUCCCUAUGUAAAAUUUAGUUUGUCUAUAAUACUACUAGGAGAUGGGUGAGGGACUGAAAGGAUGAUAUGCUUCCAUGAAUUUAUUUGUAAGAAUUUUUUCUUGGCUCUGUACAAAUCAGCACAAAUAUGUGAGCCUCGGUUCUGAAAACUAAAGAAUUCAUAUAUUGCUAGAUAGACUAUGAUUUAGGAUAUGCUAAACAGAAAGCUUUAUAAGAUGGAACUAUCAAUUCAUCAUGACUUCACUUUGUCCUUUAAUUUAAUUUAAUUUAAUAUGGUUAGAACUACCAUGGUUUUUUAAGUAGUUGGCGCAUUAAGAAACAGUAUGCUGGAUGUUUGGCCUUGCAUUCGUCCUUCCAUGAAUUCAUGCUUGUACAUUGCUAGUUAUUGAUUUUUUUGCAAGUCUUCUUCUUCCUCGAUCUUGUGCAGCAGCAACAAUUCAAGGUCAUGGUCAUGGAGCAGCAGCCAUAUAUUUUUCUUCUUAUUCCUCCCUGAGAUGACAUGAGA
RNAcentral lists this long non-coding RNA (3955 nucleotides) under Triticum aestivum (bread wheat). Its description in RNAcentral is "long non-coding RNA (TAES_LNC024959)". The record is from RNAcentral. Lineage: Eukaryota; Viridiplantae; Streptophyta; Magnoliopsida; Poales; Poaceae.